Molecule: ribosomal RNA, 468 nt
Filed under: uncultured bacterium
Lineage: Bacteria
Description: partial 16S ribosomal RNA
Rfam family: Bacterial small subunit ribosomal RNA
Source: RNAcentral
GACGAACGCUGGCGGCGUGCUUAACACAUGCAAGUCGAACGGAAAGGCCCUGCUUUUGUGGGGUGCUCGAGUGGCGAACGGGUGAGUAACACGUGAGUAACCUGCCCUUGACUUUGGGAUAACUUCAGGAAACUGGGGCUAAUAUCGGAUAGGAGCUCCUGCUGCAUGGUGGGCGUUGGAAAGUUUCGGCGGUUGGGGAUGGACUCGCGGCUUAUGAGCUUGUUGGUGGGGUAGUCGUUGACCAAGGCUUUGACGGGUAGCCCGCCUGGGAGCUGAGACGGGGUCCAUACGCCUACGAGACGGCGCAGACGCCAACGGGAGGCAACGGUCGGAAGUAUUACACAGUGGGCGGGAGCCUGAUGCGACGACGCCGGGUGCGGAAUGCCGGCCUUCGGGUUAAGAACCGCUGUCGCCUGAGACGAAGCGUGAGUGACGGUAAUGAAUAAAGAAGCACCGGCUAACUACGUG